GGAGAGGUAUCGAAGCGGUCAUAACGAGGCGGUCUUGAAAACCGUUUGCCUUAACGGGCACGUGGGUUCGAAUCCCACCCUCUCCGCCA
RNAcentral lists this transfer RNA (89 nucleotides) under Ruminococcus sp. RNAcentral's name for it is "tRNA-Ser". It matches the Rfam family "tRNA". From Rfam's summary of the family: Transfer RNA (tRNA) molecules are approximately 80 nucleotides in length. Their secondary structure includes four short double-helical elements and three loops (D, anti-codon, and T loops). Further hydrogen bonds mediate the characteristic L-shaped molecular structure. tRNAs have two regions of fundamental functional importance: the anti-codon, which is responsible for specific mRNA codon recognition, and the 3' end, to which the tRNAs corresponding amino acid is attached (by aminoacyl-tRNA synthetases). tRNAs cope with the degeneracy of the genetic code in two manners: having more than one tRNA (with a specific anti-codon) for a particular amino acid; and 'wobble' base-pairing, i.e. permitting non-standard base-pairing at the 3rd anti-codon position. The record is from RNAcentral. Lineage: Bacteria; Bacillati; Bacillota; Clostridia; Eubacteriales; Oscillospiraceae.